AGACUACAAUUAUCUGAUCA
RNAcentral lists this microRNA (20 nucleotides) under Oryza sativa (Asian cultivated rice). RNAcentral's name for it is "osa-miR5083". The record is from miRBase by way of RNAcentral. RNAcentral also lists the same sequence under 1 other name. Lineage: Eukaryota; Viridiplantae; Streptophyta; Magnoliopsida; Poales; Poaceae.